GGGGCUGAUUUGGUUUCGACUUCGUACAUUGAGCCAGGGGAAGCGUGCCGGUGCAGGCUGAGGACCACCGCAAGCGUCGCAGCAAACCUAAAAGCGCCGAGAACUCUCAGCGCGACUACGCCCUCGCUGCCUAAUACCAGCGACCGCGUGUCUGUCAGACCGGAUUUGCCUCUGAUCCGGACCCUGGCAUCGACUAAGAGGCUUGCCGUUCAGCCGCGUCAGCGGGGCUGAACGGGACUCCACACCGCUGACUGGGCCCAUCAUCCGGGACGUGUUCGUCCGAGCCGGAGGGCCGAGCAGAGAUCAUGUGCGAACUGCGCACGGAGAAGCCCUGGCGAGGUGACGGAGGACCCGGGUUCAAUUCCCGGCAGCUCCACCA
This 379-nucleotide transfer-messenger RNA is filed under the name Corynebacterium suedekumii. Its description in RNAcentral is "Corynebacterium sp. LM112 transfer-messenger RNA". It matches the Rfam family "transfer-messenger RNA". Rfam says of the family: Bacterial tmRNA, also known as 10Sa RNA or SsrA, is named for its dual tRNA and mRNA-like properties. Its role is to liberate the mRNA from a stalled ribosome. The record is from RNAcentral. Lineage: Bacteria; Bacillati; Actinomycetota; Actinomycetes; Mycobacteriales; Corynebacteriaceae.